CUAAAAUUCUGAUUGACCAUGUCCUCUGUCCUGUCUGAUGCCACUGUUUCUAGGGGCUCACACUUCUCAUACAAAGUAAGGCACCUUCUUCCCUAACCCCUAGUGUGGCAUUUGCACCAUGUGAAAUGCUCAGGACUAUGUAAUAGAUGAAGCCCCACUGCUUUUGAUUAAUUUAAAGUCACAAAAGUUUUUUUUUUUUUUUUAAUAGGAAAAUCAAUUUUCAAAUACUCAGAUCCUUGAAUAAGAAGAGUGUUGGGAAGUAAUGAAAAAUAUCAAGGGUAAAGGGCAGCAACGCCAGCACCUUCUCCCAAAGCACAGCAAGUCUCCUCUUUGGCAGGCGGUUGAUCUGCCUGCUCUACCUUGGACACUGCGCUGCGUCCACGCAGGGGGCUAAGCCCCACGGGAACCGAGCGUUUCAUCAGGGUCACGCACCAUGGUUAGGAGACUUUCUUUCUUUCUUUUUUUUCUUUUUAUUGCAUACCUUAUUUUCAUCUGCAUCCAGUUAGCAAUAUGGUUGAGAAGCAAGUGGAGAAUUAACAUCCACUGGAAUUAAAACACUCAGCUCGCCCAUUUCUACAGCAUUUACCAGGAGCCUCUUCUGCUUGGAACCUGGCUAGGUGUUGGCCUGGACCCGUGGAAGGCAUGCCCCCUGCUCCUCAGAGGCACCAAGUUCAGCA
This 677-nucleotide long non-coding RNA is filed under the name Macaca nemestrina (pig-tailed macaque). RNAcentral's name for it is "lncRNA (ENSMNEG00000046134.1)". The record is from RNAcentral. Lineage: Eukaryota; Metazoa; Chordata; Mammalia; Primates; Cercopithecidae.